This is a small nuclear RNA of Nicotiana attenuata, 103 nucleotides long. Lineage: Eukaryota; Viridiplantae; Streptophyta; Magnoliopsida; Solanales; Solanaceae. The record is from Rfam.
GUCCCUUCGGGACAUCCGAUAAAAUUGGAACGAUACAAAGAAGAUUAGCAUGGUCCCUGCGCAAAGAUGACCCAGCACAAAUCGAGAAAUGGUGUUAGUAUUA